Molecule: ribosomal RNA, 1358 nt
Filed under: Staphylococcus aureus
Lineage: Bacteria; Bacillati; Bacillota; Bacilli; Caryophanales; Staphylococcaceae
Description: bacterial SSU rRNA
Rfam family: Bacterial small subunit ribosomal RNA
Source: RNAcentral
ACCGCAUGGUUCAAAAGUGAAAGACGGUCUUGCUGUCACUUAUAGAUGGAUCCGCGCUGCAUUAGCUAGUUGGUAAGGUAACGGCUUACCAAGGCAACGAUGCAUAGCCGACCUGAGAGGGUGAUCGGCCACACUGGAACUGAGACACGGUCCAGACUCCUACGGGAGGCAGCAGUAGGGAAUCUUCCGCAAUGGGCGAAAGCCUGACGGAGCAACGCCGCGUGAGUGAUGAAGGUCUUCGGAUCGUAAAACUCUGUUAUUAGGGAAGAACAUAUGUGUAAGUAACUGUGCACAUCUUGACGGUACCUAAUCAGAAAGCCACGGCUAACUACGUGCCAGCAGCCGCGGUAAUACGUAGGUGGCAAGCGUUAUCCGGAAUUAUUGGGCGUAAAGCGCGCGUAGGCGGUUUUUUAAGUCUGAUGUGAAAGCCCACGGCUCAACCGUGGAGGGUCAUUGGAAACUGGAAAACUUGAGUGCAGAAGAGGAAAGUGGAAUUCCAUGUGUAGCGGUGAAAUGCGCAGAGAUAUGGAGGAACACCAGUGGCGAAGGCGACUUUCUGGUCUGUAACUGACGCUGAUGUGCGAAAGCGUGGGGAUCAAACAGGAUUAGAUACCCUGGUAGUCCACGCCGUAAACGAUGAGUGCUAAGUGUUAGGGGGUUUCCGCCCCUUAGUGCUGCAGCUAACGCAUUAAGCACUCCGCCUGGGGAGUACGACCGCAAGGUUGAAACUCAAAGGAAUUGACGGGGACCCGCACAAGCGGUGGAGCAUGUGGUUUAAUUCGAAGCAACGCGAAGAACCUUACCAAAUCUUGACAUCCUUUGACAACUCUAGAGAUAGAGCUUUCCCCUUCGGGGGACAAAGUGACAGGUGGUGCAUGGUUGUCGUCAGCUCGUGUCGUGAGAUGUUGGGUUAAGUCCCGCAACGAGCGCAACCCUUAAGCUUAGUUGCCAUCAUUAAGUUGGGCACUCUAAGUUGACUGCCGGUGACAAACCGGAGGAAGGUGGGGAUGACGUCAAAUCAUCAUGCCCCUUAUGAUUUGGGCUACACACGUGCUACAAUGGACAAUACAAAGGGCAGCGAAACCGUGAGGUCAAGCAAAUCCCAUAAAGUUGUUCUCAGUUCGGAUUGUAGUCUGCAACUCGACUACAUGAAGCUGGAAUCGCUAGUAAUCGUAGAUCAGCAUGCUACGGUGAAUACGUUCCCGGGUCUUGUACACACCGCCCGUCACACCACGAGAGUUUGUAACACCCGAAGCCGGUGGAGUAACCUUUUAGGAGCUAGCCGUCGAAGGUGGGACAAAUGAUUGGGGUGAAGUCGUAACAAGGUAGCCGUAUCGGAAGGUGCGGCUGGAUCACCU